GAUGAACGCUGGCGGCGUGCCUAAUACAUGCAAGUCGAGCGAACGGACGAGAAGCUUGCUUCUCUGAUGUUAGCGGCGGACGGGUGAGUAACACGUGGAUAACCUACCUAUAAGACUGGGAUAACUUCGGGAAACCGUAGCUAAUACCGGAUAAUAUUUUGAACCGCAUGGUUCAAAAGUGAAAGACGGUCUUGCUGUCACUUAUAGAUGGAUCCGCGCUGCAUUAGCUAGUUGGUAAGGUAACGGCUUACCAAGGCAACGAUGCAUAGCCGACCUGAGAGGGUGAUCGGCCACACGGGAACUGAGACACGGUCCAGACUCCUACGGGAGGCAGCAGUAGGGAAUCUUCCGCAGUGGGCGAAAGCCUGACGGAGCAACGCCGCGUGAGUGAUGAAGGUCUUCGGAUCGUAAAACUCUGUUAUUAGGGAAGAACAUAUGUGUAAGUAACUGUGCACAUCUUGACGGUACCUAAUCAGAAAGCCACGGCUAACUACGUG
RNAcentral lists this ribosomal RNA (497 nucleotides) under uncultured bacterium. RNAcentral describes it as "partial 16S ribosomal RNA". It matches the Rfam family "Bacterial small subunit ribosomal RNA", at positions 28 to 507 of the family's 1533-position model. The record is from RNAcentral.